UUUUUGUGUGCGGUUUGUGUGGUACGUGAAAAAUUUUUCCGUUUCGUGUUGGUGGAUAGCGGAAAAAAGAAAAUCUGUUAAAUUAGUGAAUUAGUAGAAAAUGGAAUAAAUAAAACAAUUUUUUUAAGUGAAAAGUGCAACAUUUUUGCGUAAGUUUAAUUUAAAAAGUUAUAUACUCGUCCAUAUAAAAUGAAGAUAAAGUAUAAAGUAGUAUGAAGUGUGGAAAAAAAGGAAAAAAAGUUGGGGGCAAAAAUGUUUGUAGCUACCAAUGCAGUGUGAAAGCGACGAAAACGCAGCAUAAAGUGAAAAACCGAAAAGAUAAAUAAUAAAGAAAUUGAGAAAAAAUGUUUGUGUGGUCUCGCCCCUUUUUUGAUGCUGUGAUUUACAAAAAGAUACGUGUUCAACUAAAUUUCAUGUGAAGAAAAAAGCAAGAAACAAGAGUUUUUCAUGAAAUAUUUCAUUCCUAGUUAAUUUAAGUAAGCUAAGUUGCAUACUCGUUCACAUAUAAGUUCCAACUCUCCAUGUAUGAAACGGAAAAAAAGCCACCGCCUGCUAAAUUGUAAUUUUUGCAGACAACAUCCACCGUUGCAGCGGCAAUAACUUUGUUUCUUUAACUACAUUCAUACUUUGUGUGCAUGUGUCGUUGUCCUUUGCCUGGUUUCCUUUUAAUACUUCCCACUGUUAAUGCUUUACUGGCCUCACAGCUACACUUGUAUAUCCAUGCAUAUAUUUAUGUAUUCAUAUGGAAUUGUGUUUUGCAAGUUUGUACUUAAGCGUCGGUAUUAAUAACUAUUGCAUCGCUAAAGCAAAAGUUUUCAUUCAAUGUUAUGGAUUAAAAAAUUAAUUUACUUAAAAGUUUAAUUUAUUGAAAUAUCCUGUCACAGUAAUAUUGAACGUCUUGGUCUUAAUUGUGCCAAUUAUAGUUUAUAUUUUAGGCGAAUCUAAUUCUGAUUUUCUUUGGUCUGUGUAUCCUAUUAAAAAACGGAUGAUUACUGCAAACUCUCAGAAGCAUUCUAUGUGAUUUCUUGUUCCAACGCAUAACAUAAUAUGAAUUUCUGGACCUACAUAAAUAAAUAUAAGUUUAAAAUUUUAUGACAUUUUUAAACAAGUUUUUUUUUUAAUGUUUGAACUUAUUUUUGUUUACUCGAAAAAAUGUUUAAACCAAAGUGUAAUUUUAAUAGUUAAAUCUUUUAAUUCCAUAGGUUUCAAAAUGUACUCUAAAUGGUUGAACAAAUUUAAUUGAUACUGAUAAAUUUUUUUAUAUACACACGUUUCUGUAAGCGAGGACAAUUCAGUACCGUGAAUUUUAGAUUUAUCAACAAACUGUCAACAAAAAGAUUUUCAAUAUCACCAGCGUCAACACAAAAUAUAGCAAAAUUACAAAGAAUUCGAACCAAACCUUAGGGUCAAGGGGCAACGCCGCAUAUAAGCAAUGAGUAUACCAUCAAAGGAAACCAAACAAUACAUAAACAAAAGAACAGCGAAGAAGAACAACAACACAUGACUGCAACAAAAUCGAAAUUUCCAACAACGACGACGACGAGGACGAGAACGCGAAUGCGAACGAGUACGACGACAUAAAGGUCACCGAAGCCGUCAAAAACAACAAAUCAA
This is a long non-coding RNA of Ceratitis capitata (Mediterranean fruit fly), 1614 nucleotides long. RefSeq lists it as uncharacterized. The transcript has 3 exons. The record is from RefSeq and is a predicted model, not a curated record. NCBI's taxonomy places the organism in Eukaryota, Metazoa, Arthropoda, Insecta, Diptera, Tephritidae.